Molecule: ribosomal RNA, 733 nt
Filed under: Coltriciella sp. G3249
Lineage: Eukaryota; Fungi; Basidiomycota; Agaricomycetes; Hymenochaetales; Hymenochaetaceae
Description: eukaryotic LSU rRNA
Rfam family: Eukaryotic large subunit ribosomal RNA
Source: RNAcentral
GUGGGAAGAGCUCAAAUUUAAAAUCUGGCAGCUCUGCUGUCCGAGUUGUAAUCUGUAGAAGCAUUUUCUAGCAUUGGACUGUGUACAAGUCUCUUGGAAUAGAGCGUCAUAGAGGGUGAGAAUCCCGUCCAUGACACAGACUACCAAUGCUUUGUGAUAUGCUCUCAAAGAGUCGAGUUGUUUGGGAAUGCAGCUCAAAAUGGGUGGUAAAUUCCAUCUAAAGCUAAAUACAGGCAAGAGACCGAUAGUGAACAAGUACCGUGAGGGAAAGAUGAAAAGCACUUUGGAAAGAGAGUUAAACAGUACGUGAAAUUGUUGAAAGGGAAACGCUUGAAGUCAGUCACAUUCUGCAGAACUCAGCCUUGCCUAUUAGGCCUGGUGUAUUUCCUGCAGGAUGGGUCAACAUCAAUUUUAGUCAAUGGAUAAAGGAGGAGGGAAUGUGGCACCUGUGAAGGUGUGUUAUAGCCCUCUUUCAUAUACAUUGACUGGGAUUGAGGACUGCAGCAUGCCCUUGUGGCCAGGCUUUCAUGUCACAUGCUUAGGAUGUUGACAAAAUGGCUUUAAGCGACCCGUCUUGAAACACGGACCAAGGAGUCUAACAUGCCUGCAAGUGUUUGGGUGGAAAACCCUUGCGCACAAUGAAAGUGAAAGUUGGGAACCCUUGGUGGUGCACUGACACCCGGCCCUGAUGUUUACUGACGGUGCUGCGGUAGAGCAUGUAUGUUUGGGACCC